This is a long non-coding RNA of Vicia villosa (hairy vetch), 434 nucleotides long. RefSeq lists it as uncharacterized. NCBI's taxonomy places the organism in Eukaryota, Viridiplantae, Streptophyta, Magnoliopsida, Fabales, Fabaceae. The transcript is spliced from 3 exons. The record is from RefSeq and is a predicted model, not a curated record.
UCUCUCUUCCUUCACUUUUCUCCCCAAAUUUUUAAUUCUUCUUCAACCCAAAUUCAAACCCUAUCUCUUCAAUUUCAAAAUGUUGACAAAUUCAUAGACUAAUGAAUCUCCAUAUCUUUUCAACCCUAAUCCAUAUCUCUUUUUAACAUAUUUUUCCCAUUUGUUUUUGCAGGUUGAAGAGAUCUGAAUGUUUUAGGUGUGGAUUUAUAUUCUUGAAGUUCAGUAUUUCUUCAACAUAAGACCUAAAAAAUAUACAAAAUAUAGUGGAUGAAAUUUUGGAUGUGAAAGGCAAAAACAGAUCUAAGGGAGAAAAAGAAGAUUUUGUUGGGAACAAAACCUUAUAAGCUGAAAUUGAUUUUGAAAAUCAUUGAAAUUUUUUGUAUUUAGUUUAAAUGAUGUAAAUUUGAAAUGGAUUUAAGGAGAAUAUUAUUGUG